Long non-coding RNA from Strigops habroptila (Kakapo), 1945 nucleotides. RefSeq lists it as uncharacterized. The record is from RefSeq and is a predicted model, not a curated record. NCBI's taxonomy places the organism in Eukaryota, Metazoa, Chordata, Aves, Psittaciformes, Psittacidae. The transcript is spliced from 4 exons.
UGGGACGGAAGAAGAAGACGCCGCACGACUACAUGGCUGAGUUCUCAGAGCUGUCAGUGAAGCAGCAGGUCCCAGGGCUGUGGCGAUGGAGGCUCUGAACCGCACAUCCCUGCGGCUGCACCCCACAUCCUCGAGCAUCUCUCCUCCAGCCGUCACUAUGGCAACCGCCGCCUGCUGCAGUGGCACGGCUGCUCCGCUCUGCAGGUCCUGACGUUGCCACCCUGCAGCUCGAUGCACCCGUGCUGCUUGCCCACCCGUCCUUCAUCCUCACCAGCACCAGCUAUGGCGUGGUUCCCUCUCUGCCUUUCUACCACAAGCUGCUGGUUCCCCACCACCCUGUUGCCACCAGCUCCCCCGUGAGCAUGGACACCCUCAGGGAAGACUCAACGCCCUUCACAAAUCACCCCUUGGCACUUGCCACCUUCCACAUGAGGGUCGACCCUGCCUCCUCAAAGCAGGCUGGACAAAGAGGGGCUGCACCCUUGGCCUCCAUGAGGCUUUACCUCAUGAGGUUUUGGUAGCACUCAACUGAAUAUAAACUUGUGGAACCUUUUACAGUGCUGCUCUGCACAACAUAGAUAUUGUCAGUUUGAGAGAGUGCACUAGAUGCAGUAUUUUCACUGGCAUGCAGCUGCUGAACAGUCCUGGAGGAACGGAUCCACUGCUGGCCUGUGCAAUGAAGUGAUGGAUUCAUUUGGAAUGAAGACUGAGAUCAUAUGGGAGAUGCUGCUGUUCCCUGAGGUAAAGAAUGACCACUCAGCUGUGCUGCAGUGAGGCCUUCCCUCCUGUGAUGUUAAAUCAGACUGUGGGUUUGACUCCUGGGAUGCUCUACUGGCCAUGGAGCUGCCUGCCAGGGAGAAGACCAGUGCUCCUGGGCCAUGGUAAGGGGUGUAGACUACCACCAGCCACAGUGGGACCGGUGCAAGCGGGUGGCUUUCCCGACAGCUUCCCAAGUGAGGUGAUACGGUACUCCAAAAACAGGAGCACCCAUCUAGUCCGUGCUCAUUUCCCCUCAGUGUACACGGGAAGGUGAUUUCGGUGCUAAACUGGCCUCUGGGCCUCCUGUUUGUUGGGGUUUUUGUUGGGUUUACUGGGUUUUAUAAAUCUUUUCGACAAGUUCUGAUCUAAUUUUCUUGGGGGAAAUGAGACUUCCAACCAUCCCAUGUCAGAGACAUGAGAGACCUUGUCGAAAGGCUGUACAUGCAGGCUAUUUGUAGAGGAGCAACACUUGGGCAUGUCAGUAACACACACUGCAUUGCCGAAGGGGUUUUCGGGAUGCAGGGGGUGACUUUGUCCCAGGGCCCUGCACAAGGGCUGUCACUGAGGCAUGUGGCUGCUGGGGGAGUUGGGAAUAUACUCCACAGAAGAAGAUGGUGCCUUCCACCAUGGGCAGGUCUGCUUUUAAACCAGGUUCUUUGUACCUUUUGACUCAUCUUGAGCUUCUUGCAGAUGUAUGGAUGUGGCUGUUUCUGUCUGUUUCUCAGGCACCACUUUCCAAAAUCUUUUGAAAGCUUUUUUUUUAUUGUAUUAAAAUAAUGUUCUUGCCUUGAGUGUUAGUUUAUAAAUGACACUUCUGGCUCUCAGGAUCCUGCAGUUCAAUCAAUUUCCAAUUCCUACAGAUGGAAUAUAUAUUACUAGAACUAGAAAUAGGGGCGACAUUUAUAACUAAAGCCAAUUCUCUCCUGGAAACUGCUUUUAACGGUGUAAUUCUUCAAACUCAAAGCUGUGUCUUAAGGAUAAAGAUUGCUGCGUCUGCUCCCAGCUUUGUAGCUUUGUGUUUGCUUGAUGAAGCAAAGCAAGUUGUGGCCCUUUGAGGCUUACACUGGUUUAGGAGGACCCUUUCCUUAUCAUAGAAGCAAGACUUUAGUUGCCAGAUGUUGUAAUUCCCACAUGUGCUUUUAUUGUGUUACCAAAAAGAGAAAGAGGGAAACCACAGCUAUAAAAA